This is a non-coding RNA of Oryctolagus cuniculus (rabbit), 8193 nucleotides long. Lineage: Eukaryota; Metazoa; Chordata; Mammalia; Lagomorpha; Leporidae. The record is from RefSeq and is a predicted model, not a curated record.
AAAGUUUAUGUAAGUCACAAAGGUCUGAGCAAGUCAUAGAAGGUUUGAAAGGAUACAUUUUUUAAAAAAUGUGUAUUUGAGUCUAACACUAUAGAUACUAUGCUGUGAUAAGAUAAUUUGUGAUUAACACUCAGCAGUCAAUCAUGUCUAAUGAGUUUGCUUCUUCCUGUGCUACUUGUUAGACAUAAAUGAAACUGAGCGACCUCAGAUCAGCAUUCAUAUGAAAUUUGAUGUCAGUCUGGACACUUUAAUACUUAGUUAUUUGUUUCUGUUUUCAAAACAUCUAUUUUACCAAAAAAAUAAGUAUAAUUUAAAAAUUAGACAACUAAAGGUUAGUACUAUUGGUUGAACUCUGUAAUUAACACACAAUUAUUCUUAGGUGUUUAAAUUUAACUGAAAAGUGAUCCCUGUUAAAUAUAAGAGUGGGAAUAAGAGAGGGAGGAGAUGUACAAUUUGGGACAUGCUCAAGCUGACUUGACCCAAAUGGUGGAGUUAGAAAUCUGCCAGGGGAUUCCAAUACAAUCCCAUCAAGGUUGCAUGUACCAAUGCCAUCUCACUAGUCCAAGUGAUCAAUUUCAGUUCACAAUUGAUCACACUGAUAGGUCUAAGAGUCAAAGGGAUCACACAAACAAGACUAGUGUCUGAUAAUACUAACUGAUAGAAUUAAAAAGGAGAGAACAAUCCAACAUGGGAAGUGGGAUACACAGCAGACUCAUAGAAUGGCAGAUGUCCUAACAGCACUCUGGUCUCAGAAUCAGCCCCUUAAGGCAGUUGAAUCUGGCUGAAGAGCCCGUGAGAGUAUUUUAGGCAUGGAAAACCAAGACACUCUGGAAAAAAAAAAAAAAAGACCUAAAUGAAAGAUCUCUGUGAGAUCCCAGUGGCAAGAACAGGGCGAUCAAAGAAGGAGGUACCUUUCUCUGAAGGGACGAGAGAACUUCCACCUUGACUAUGACCCUGUCUGAAUAAGAUUGAAAUCGGCGAACUCAAGAGGCUUCCAUAACACACAGCAGACUCAUAGAAUGGCAGCACUCCUGCCUCAGAAUCAACCCUUGGGACAUUCAGAUCUGGCUAAAAGGUCCUUGAGAGUCUCACAGGCAUGGAAAGCCAUGACACGGUGGCAAAAAACAAUCUAAAUGAAAGAUCCUGGUGAACAAGACCCCAGCAGAAGGAACAGGCCAUCAAGCAGAGAGGCGCCUUUCUCUGAAGGGAGGAAGGAACCUCCACUGUGAUACAGCCUUGACUAAACAAGUUCAGAAUCAGUGAACUCAAGGGGCUUCCAUAGCCUAGACAGCUCAUAGCAAGAGUCUCGGAUGAUUGCUGACGUCAUAAAUAAGAGUGCCAAUUGUUAAAUCAACAAUGGGAGUCACUUGGUACAUGCUCCCCAUGUAGGAUCUCUGUCCUUAAUGUGUUCUACUAUGAAACUUAAAAACAACACUACUAGUCGAACAAUACCCUAUACCUUGUGUGAUUGUGUUCUUCCUGUUUACUUUCAAAUGGAUUCAUCACUUGUUCCAAUGGCACUUGAAUCUCGAACUAGCAAGCCAACAAAUUUACUCCAUUCAUUUUCUCCUGAGUUUGCCUGCUUUUACUGAUAAUCUUCUGCUUCAAAAAAGCCUGCCUUCCCUGGCAGAACCUGCUGGUCUGCUUGGUUGACCGUCUCUUGCAAAACAAUUGCACCGAUAAACUGAGGGACUGGAGGGGAGAUUAUAUUAUCACCAUUUUACAGAUGAAGAAACUGGCUGAGAGAAAUUGCUUAAGGACAGACGUAACAAUUGAUGAAGUAUGGAUUAGAAACCCAGUUGGUCUGACCCUCAAGACCAUGUUCAGGUGGCAUAUGGCCACAUGUUCUGAAAAUCCCAGCAUCAUUUCCUGUUGGAGGCAAUAUGAAUUUGAGAGUUGACACAGGGGCACUGGGACGUCUCUAGGAGUCAGCCCUUUGGGCACAGGAGUUAGCCAUCAUUUGCAAACUCUCCACCGACUGGAAGCAAAGCUGGAAGACAGGGCUGCCAAAGCCAAUCAUUGCAACCUGUAGCAGGCUCUCCUGCCCCCCGUCUGCCCCUACCCUCGGAGAGGGCUUCCUCCCCUCAGCGCUCCUGACCAGCGUGGCUGGCUGCUGCUAUCCUUGCACCUGUCGCACCUCCGGUUUUUGGCAGAAUGAAGUGAGGAGACAGCUGGAGUCAUCAUAGUUCAUCUGUUUGAAGGUUGCCCAAAUGAAAAACAAACAAACAAAUCUGGUGGCCUAUUGAUUUCAAAAAGAUUGAGUAGAGGAAAAAAUACGUAAUGAAAAUGAAGAAUGAAAAUUGUUCCUUUCUGCUUCCGCCAAGAGCUGACAUUUGAAUAUCUGAGUUAUUUGGACUGGGACCCUCAAUAGAGAUUUAGAAGCACAGAGAUAGGUAUGUAAUUUCUAGAAACAAGUGCUGAGGGAAGCUGUGUGGUCAAGUGCUCUGGGAGUAGCAAGACCUCCAUAUUUUUUGACAAGUGCAAAUUUAUUUUCUAAUAUUAUCGGUAUCAGAGGUUCUCUGCUCUUACCAAAAAAGGCGACAUUCAUGUAUUUUUAAGGACGUAAAACUCUUUCACAUUUUCCCCUCUUAAUUUCCUAGGAAAUUAAACAAAAUCAAAACAACUAAGUGACUAAAUAACAACAGCACAACAAAACCAAACGAGGGGUCUGCAUUGUGGCACAGUGGGUUAAGAUUCCAAGUGCUUGGGCCCCUGCCACCCACAUGGGACAUCUGGAUGGAGUCCCUGGCUCUUGGCUUCAGCCUGGCCUAGCUCCAGCCAUUGAAGUCAUUUGUUGAGUGAAGCAGUGAAUGGAAGAUAUCUCUCGCUCUUGCUCUAUAACUCUGCAUUUCAAAUAAGUAAAUCUUUAAAACAAAACAAAACGAGAGCCAAUUCUUGUCUGUAAUGGGUUCUGUUACAGAACACUCCCCAAAUUGGGUCUACUCUCCUGAUGCAUAGCAGGCCAAUUAUUGACACUGGGCUGGUUGGUGGAAGAAAGCCUUUUGUUUGUCAUGUACAGAGCAAGCAAUCACGCAGCUAAUGCUCAAUUCCUGGACUUCCCAAGGGAUGAAAGGAGGUGAAUCUUAUAAUUCAAAGUUGGGGGUGAGCAGUGCAUGACCAGCUCAUGUGAGGCCUCUGGUUGGUUCAGAGUACUCAGGGCCUUCCUUUGACUGGUCAGUAAUAGGGGCCAGUGUGUUUAUUCUGAUAUGGCAAAGGUGUUCUCAGGUUUAUCUGGGCCAAAGGGUAGAUUGGGUAUUUGUUUGAUCAGGGCUUCUCAUGUUUAACUAUAGGGGCAAUUCCAGCGUUUAUGAUUCAGGGUCUUGCUUCUGGCUUUACUAGGUGUCACUCCCUAAAUUUAAUGAGUUAAUCUUUAUUUACAGAGGACCUGCAAACCAAGGAAGAGAUCCUGGGGUCUAAAUCAAAGGCAUUAGGGCUAGAGGCAUGGUUUCAGGACUAAUGCUUUUAAAGUGAAACAAAUAAAUUUUAUGUGAAACCAGUUGUCAUUAACCAUUACAUUCUCAUUUUAUGAGAUUAAAAUAAGAAAAACACAGUUCUGUUUGCAGGUUUUAUUUUUCUAGCAUACUUAGCGUUUUUGGUAAAAUUUGUGGCCUGAACCCCUAUUAAUUAAUUAAUCCCUGGUUAUUAAUGUUUAUGAAAUCUUGCAUUUUAACACCAUUAAGAUAAUCAAAAUAGACUCAUCCCUUCACAUUCCAAAUGUAGAGAUGUUUACGAGUUAUCUGAAUAACUGGAUCCUGCUUUUUGUUCCAUGGCCAGGUCCCACUGCCAUAGCAAAUAAGGAACAUUAUUUCUCCCUGGUGAUGAGGUAAUGAUCUUGCUGUCAUGAUUUGCUAAGUUGAAAAUGUCCUUUAGACACAUACAAAUGUGUGCUUUUUAUUGGACAAAGUAUUUCAAUUCCAAUUGCUCAUUUCUCUCACUGGAAUUGUGGACUUUUAAAUUCAAAUAGUAUUUUAACAGCUGGUCCCAAUAACAAAAGGACACUAGUUUAAAUGUCCCAUAAAAUGUGUAAGGUCAAGGACAUCCAAUUUUUCCCUUCUUUAUUCUUCAAAUACUCUGUAGUUGCACUUCUUCUGUGCCUCCUUGAGGACCCUGAGGAGAACUGCAUAAAAUAGACCCUUCUAGUGCAGGGUUGAGUCCCAGCUGCUCUACUUCUGAUCCAGCUCCCUGCUAUUGUGCCUGAUAAAGCAGUGGAAGAUGGUCCAACCACUUGGGCCCCGGCACCCAUGUGGGAGACCCAGAAGAAGCUCCUGGCUACUGGCUUUGGUAUGGCCCAGCCCUGGCCAUUACAGCCAUUUGGGGAGUGAAUCAGUGGAUGGAAGAUCUCUCUCUCACUCACUCACUCAUUCUUUCAAAUAAAAAAAGUAAAUCUUAAAAAAAUAGACUCCUCCAUAGCUGUGAGAAGGAAAGUCUACAUUUCCUGCUAGCCUAUCUUUAUCAACAGAUUUUUUUUCCCGCAGAAGUUUCCUUUUUUAUAGAAAAGGUUUUCAUUGAUUAAUUGAUUGAAUUAUAAUACAGAGAGGGAGGGUGGGGAGAGAGAGAUUAAUCGAUCUUCCAUGCACCCACUGUUUCAUUUUCCAAAUGCCCACAAAAACACAAGGCUGGGCCAGGCUGAAGCCAGGACAGCGUGAACUCCAUCCUGGUUUCCCACAUGAGUUUAAGGUACACAGGCUCUGGGACUAUCAGUCACUGCUUUCCCAGGUGCAUUAAGAGGAAGCUAGGUGGGAAGUAGAGCAGCUGGGACUCAGUCCUGCUCUCCAAUUACGGGAUGCCAGCUUCGCAAGUGUCAAAACACCUGCCCCACACAGAAGUUUCUGAGUCUUGUUUAUCAAUUUGGAAGAUAGAAACAGCCAUGUCAGUAUCACCUCUCAAUUCUAGGGGUUUCUGUGGCUUCUUUCAUGUAACCAAUGACAUUUACUAUCUUUCAUUCUUUAGCAACCAUUAUCAAAUCAGGAUUGACUGCUGAAGCAUUAUUGUCAGCAGCUACAGUAAAAACAGCCUCUGCAGCAGUAACUCAAAGCUGGCUGGCCCUCAGUUCAUACUUCACACCGGCAAGCAGCCAGUUCCUCAUCUAGUGUGUGCUGCUUUCUCAACUACGUUUCCUUCUCCCAAGGUAUCAUCCUGUCACUCCCUAGAAACUCUUGGGUUUCUGUUAGUCCAAGAGCAGCUACGCAUAGAAUAGCUUUCUUAUCAACUCUGUCAUGGAUUUUAAAACUGCCAGUAAAACACCAAUUAACAUAACAUUUCACUUGAAAAAUGAGAAAAAUCUCUCAGCAUUUUUGAAACCAUAAAGCAGUCAUAGCUUUAAAAACCAUUAAUCAUCAUAAUAUCUUUUCAAGAACUCUCUUUGUCCCCAGAAUCUGCAAAUAAUCUGCCCCAGACUUUCUUUAAAAAUCCACACCUUUCAGUUUACAAACAUGGGAGAGACUCUGGUUAUUUGAAACAUGCAUGUUCAAUAAUAGCAAACUGAGUUUGCACUAAUUUAAUACCAAUGUCAGUAUAAGGAGAGGAGAAGGCUAUGCAGUGAUCUUGGCAAUAUACACAAGCAAAUAUAACUUUUGACCCUUCUAAGCCUAGAACUAAUUACUAAGCUCCUUUUUGGCAAGGACUCUUGCUUUCUUUGUGUCUCUUUAUGUCUGUCACACAAUUGAGCAUGUAGUAAGUGCUUAAUAAACAAUCUGAAUAAUUAUGACUUUUUCAGUUCAGAAAUCAAACUCAUCAAAAAAACUAAGAAAAAUGUAGGAAGAGGAAAAAAUUCACUUAAGACCUGAAAACUUGAAUAGCAUCACAGUUGGGAUUUAAAUCUAUACUUUGAAGCAAGGUCUCUGUUGACUGUGCUUUGCCCCUGUCAGGCCUUUAGUUCAGCCCACUCUUUCUCACUCCCUUAAGCCCUAAAAAUAGUUCUUAAAUGCCCUUUUUUUUUUGAAAAAUUCCUACCUGCCCAACCCUUGACCACAGCUGGAAGAAUGAAGACAUCAUGUUCCUUCUGUUAUACCUGUCUUGCAAGGCUUAGGGGAAUCGAAGAAUCUGCAGAUAGAAAGCAUUGUCUGACUAGUUUUGCCCAUUCCUCUGGCUACUCAGCCAUUUGCUUCAUUCAACAAACAUGUGCUUUGUGCUCACUAUGCACCAGCCCAUCCCAUUGUACUCUGCGAAAUCAAUGGUGAACAACACAUACCUGAUUGACCUCUGUCCCAGGGCUCACAGUCUGAUGAGAGAGAAAGGCUCUUCACAUUAAGCAGGGAAGUAGAACAUGUAGAAUUCUGAGAAAAUUAGGAAGUCAAGAGGACAAGAAAAGAAUAUCUGAUGUAGGUUCCUUGAUUUCCUAUUUGGCCAAACGCUUUUUUUUUUUUUCCCCUUCACUUGGUUUGUUUGAAAACAAGCCCUACUCUCCAGUGGCAUGCCAAGGGUCUCUGCAUAAAAAAGGGUGGUUUAAGGCAAUGUACUUGCCCUGGGAAACCUAAUUUCUACUUGGGCUGGCAAGCUCUGAAAACUGAAACCGAAAACUAACAAAGCAAGACAAGCUAUAUUAAAUUGCUAGAUUGUAUGCAGUAUAUGAGAGAUAAAAAAGACUAGACAGGAUAUGGUGCCUGCUGUUGUUUGGGAAAUGAAAGUUAAUGCAGCAACAUGAAAAGGAGCUCAGUGCCUGUCUUGAGUGUGCCCUGUAUUUCUGGAUAGUCUGAGUUCUUGGGGUGUUCUGGAUCCUCUUCUCUGCUGAUUGACAGGGUUACUCUUUAGUGAUUUCUGUGCCCUGAGACACUGUUGACAGAGAGCUGAAGACUCAAUAAUACUCAUGUAGCUGGAAAGGAGGGAGUGGGAUGGUUGAGAGCAACAUGGCAUUGAUAAUCAUUUUCUUUCCCUGCUAAGGGCCAAUGUUACUGCAUGUUGUACUAGAGUUUCAAUGCUGCUCACAUCAAUAGGAGUUGAAAACUCUCUUUUCUCUUUCUCUGCCCCAUUCCCUUCUCAUUUUAUAUCUCUUUGUCUUUCACUUGAGUAGUUCCUUCUUUGGUCUGCAGUUCAUGAAUUUUGCCUUUGGACCGUGCAUAAGUGUAGGUAGGAAGAAAUGGAUCUGUACUGUGCAUGUAAAUACAGUAAACAUCUUUAUAUAAUGUGUGGUAAUUAUUUAUUCAUAGUGUAUGAACUGGGAAUUAUGGCCAAAAAGGCCAUGAAAACAGAAUAACUUUAUGUACCUUACAUUUUAUGUAUGACAAAAGGCAUUUCUCACAAAAGGUGGUACUUUUCCAAGUACUUGAAUCAAAAAUUAUGGAAGCCACUUGAUUUGAAUCUUAAUCCGUCUUCUUAAUAGCAGUAUGAUUUAUAUGUUGACCCUGUUGAACUUUAGUUUGUUCAUCUGUAAGACGGAGAAAAAUUCUGCUUUAUAUCUUUUUCAAAGACAUUAACUGAAAUUAUGUGUAUGGAGCUUUAUGCCCAGAACCUAGCAUUUAAUAGACAUUUAAUAAAUGCAAGUAAUCUCAUUUAUUAUGAAUGAUUGCAAGAACUUGUGCAUUAUUCAGAAUCUGGAAGCUAAGAAUUUUAGAGUCUCACUUUUUGGUCAGGUUCUACAGUGCUUUUCUAAAAAAAUCAAGUUAGAUGAUCUUUUUUCUAUUUUUUAAGCUUUUAUUUAAUAAAUAUAAAUUUCCAAAGUACAACUUUUGGAUUAUAGCGGCUUCUUUCACCCAUAACCACCCUCCCACCCACAACCAUCCCAUCUCCUGUUCCCUCUCCCAUCCUAUUCACAUCAAGAUUCAUUUUCAAUUAUUUUUAUAUACAGAAGAUCAAUUUAGUAUAUGCUAAGUAAAGAUUUCAACAGUCUGCACCCACACAGAAAAACAAGGUAUAAAGUACUAUUUGAGUACUAGUUAUACCGUUAACUCACAUAGUAUAACACAUUAAGGACAGAAAUCCUACAUGGGGAGUGAGUGCACAGUGACUCCUGUUGUUGAUUUAACAAUUGACACUCUUAUUUACAACAUCAGUAAUCACCUGAGGCUCUUGUCAUGAGCUGCCAAGGCUAUGGAAGCCUCUUGAGUUUGCCAACUCCUAUCUUCUUUCGACAAGGCCAUAGUCAAAGUGGAAGUUCUCUCCUCCCUUCAGAGAAAGGUACCUCCUUCUUUGAUGGCCCAUUCUUUCCGCUGGGAUCUCACUCACAGAGAUCUUCCAUUUAGGUCAUUUUUUUUUUUU